This 450-nucleotide ribosomal RNA is filed under the name uncultured Glomeromycotina. RNAcentral describes it as "SSU rRNA". It matches the Rfam family "Eukaryotic small subunit ribosomal RNA", at positions 569 to 1024 of the family's 1831-position model. Lineage: Eukaryota; Fungi; Glomeromycota. The record is from RNAcentral.
AGCAGCCGCGGUAAUUCCAGCUCCAAUAGCGUAUAUUAAAGUUGUUGCAGUUAAAAAGCUCGUAGUUGAAUUUCGGGACCAAUAUGUCGGUCGUGCUUCGGUACGUACUUGCAUUAUUGGUUUCUCCCUUCUGAAGAACCAUGAUGUCAUUAAUUUGGUGUCUUGGGGACUCAGGACUGUUACUUUGAAAAAAUUAGAGUGUUUAAAGCAGGCUCACGCUUGAAUACAUUAGCAUGGAAUAAUGAAAUAGGACGUUUGAUUCUAUUUUGUUGGUUUCUAGGAUCGACGUAAUGAUUAAUAGGGAUAGUUGGGGGCAUUAGUAUUCAAUUGUCAGAGGUGAAAUUCUUGGAUUUAUUGAAGACUAACUACUGCGAAAGCAUUUGCCAAGGAUGUUUUCAUUAAUCAAGAACGAAAGUUAGGGGAUCGAAGACGAUCAGAUACCGUCGUAGU